GCCCAGAUAGCUCAGCGGCAGAGCGCGUUCUUGGUAAGAACGAGGUCGGCGGUUCAAUCCCGCCUCUGGGCUCCA
Molecule: transfer RNA, 75 nt
Filed under: bacterium
Lineage: Bacteria
Also listed under: 4 other names
Description: tRNA-Thr
Rfam family: tRNA
About the family: Transfer RNA (tRNA) molecules are approximately 80 nucleotides in length. Their secondary structure includes four short double-helical elements and three loops (D, anti-codon, and T loops).
Source: RNAcentral